ACCCAUACGUGUCCCCUCCACUGCUGACACAGGGGCUUAUGUCACCCCAGGGCGGGGGGCAGGGGAACCCCAGAGCGGGGGCUCUUGGCUGGCUCCUUCUGCCUUGGCCAUGGCCAACUCCUGAGGAUCCCACCAGCCUCGAGAGUGCGGGAGUGUGGAAGGUUCACUCCUGGGCCGGCCAAGCCUGGCCUCGAUCAAGUCACUUCUUCACUCCAGCACCAGAGAUGUCGUCCGGAGGAGGGGACCUCUGUCUGGCGGCCCUGCCGUCUGGGUUUCUGUUGGCUUCUGUUUAGCUCACAGCACAGGCGAGAGCAGCAGGCCCCGUGUCAGGAAGGAGGCACCUGGGGCGAAGAGGAACGCCAGCAAGGGAAGAUGUCUAAACCGUGAUGACGAGAUCAAAGCCAGAGGAAUUAUGAAACGAGGCUCCAGCAGAUAAAACAAAAUCUGAUUUGGAUUGAGAAAAGCAAAGUCACCUAAAAUGGGAAAAGAGAGCUUCUCAGCCUCGGCCAGUGCCUCUCGGGGAGUCCAGCCGUCCAGGCCACUUGGCGUGGGCAGCUCACCAACUGGGGCAGAGGCUGUGGUGGUGGCACCGGACAGAGGCGCCCCGUGGGGAGACCGGAGUGGAGACUGCAGGGAGGGGCCGCCGGCAGCCGAGCCUGCCAAGAACUGGGGUGUGCGACUCGGGCCCUCGGCCUCUCCCGACCCCACACCAAAGGGCAGAGCCUCAGUUACCCACGCUGGCAGCCAACGGAACUGCAUGCUCAGUCAGAAGAGGGACCUACUAAGUGACACCAGGUGUCCUGAAAAUAACUGCAGAACUACAGGACAGACCUCCCCGGAGAAUGCUAUCUAAGCCUCACGGUGUUUAAAAAUAAUGUU
Molecule: long non-coding RNA, 879 nt
Organism: Canis lupus familiaris (dog)
Lineage: Eukaryota; Metazoa; Chordata; Mammalia; Carnivora; Canidae
Exons: 3
Source: RefSeq, a predicted model, not a curated record